This is a long non-coding RNA of Rattus norvegicus (Norway rat), 2085 nucleotides long. RefSeq lists it as uncharacterized. The record is from RefSeq and is a predicted model, not a curated record. NCBI's taxonomy places the organism in Eukaryota, Metazoa, Chordata, Mammalia, Rodentia, Muridae.
CUUCCCUGAGACGCUGAUAGCCCAGCCAGGCUUCCUUGUCUGGGCCCAAUCUCGAUGACUGAAUCCUCAUCAUAUAGACACAUGAGUGCGCUCCCCUGAACACAGCCGGGCUAACCUGAACCUCAUUGGUGCUAGAAUAAAUGAGUUGCUGAGGACACAUUCGUCUAUCCGUGUGACAGUUGUAAAGACAUAUUUCUUCCUCACCUACGAGGACUGUAGUACAGAUGGAAUUGAUGGUUUGAGAAAUAGAGGAAAAAUGUUCAGUCUGAAUGGAGCCAUGUAUCUAGAACCAAUGUCCUGAGCUGGGAAUGGCUCUCAGACUCAACGUUUCUUGAGGGGAGUUUCAAACUCCAGCACAAAGACAAGAAAAUAAAUACAAAUGUGAAAUAUAUUCCCUCCUCCAUUCACAAAAUGCCGCGUGACAGAACCGUCCUCUCAGUUAAAACCUUUUGUGUUCCAGUGUUGGCAGAUUGAAAGGCAGUGACCUACAGAUGCAAGAAAAUCCCACAUGUCACAAUAAAGAGACCGGAAAAUAUUUCCAAGUGCACAGAUAGACUGGGGGAAAGUCCUUCAGAUCAGGGAUGCAGGGUUUAACAUAGAAUACACAUGGAAAUCUGAAAGCUAAAAUGAAGGUACUAGGAUCACAAGAAGCUAAGGGGUAUGUAUUCAUUUUAUUUGAUCUUGACCCAAGACCAUGACAUGGUGCCAUGCACAUUCAGAUUGUACCUUCAUCUCAAUUAAACCUCACUGGGAGCCCCCUCAUAGCAAUGCCCAUGGACAUGUCUUGUUCAUCAGAGAACCUUCCUUUGCAUCGGAUGACAGUCAACAGAUGCACUCUCGAACGGUCAAAGUGCAGAACACACUUAACGGCGGAGUGCUCAGCCCUAACUAACGUCUGCAUUAGAUCUCUUCACUCCGAGACUCUGAGAACACCACAGAGGAGCCGCCAUCAUGGUUUGAAGAGACAGAGACAGUGGAGGGCUUGUGUGAGAGAGUGUCUUCUGGGCAUGAAAGGGCUCUUACAUCUGAGCUUUCAAGAUAGGAUUGCCCGAGUAGGAUGUGCACCAGAUUCCUCAAAGAUCAAAGAUGGGAGGGACUCCUGAGCUACCACCCUCUCUGGAGUACUAUUGGUGGUUCAUGAAUGCUGGCGUGACUGGAAUCAUUUCUCUUUGGAAGCACGGUCAUUGAUAGGUUUUCCACACUGUCAUGGAUUGCCCCAUGUCUAUGUGCAGGAAUCUACCUUUGUUUUUCUGCUUUAAAUAUUCAGUUUUCCAUAUGAAUGUCUCUGGGUUUUGGUUCCUCCGUAAUUCUUUCACUAGAGUUUUUGUUGUGGAGGGUUUCACUGCUUCAGUUACACUCAUUUCUACCUAUUUUACUGGGAUGAAUUUUACUGCUACUGCUGUUGUUUUUGUCCUUCCCCUCCCCAGAAGUGGGGACAGAACCUAUGGCUUUGAGAAUGCCAGACAUGCGCUGUGCCACUGGGCUUCACUCCAGCCUAUUUAUUAUUUGAUCAGGGGCUAUGGUGAAUUUUUUUUAAUUGUUAGUGUGUUCGUGGUAUAUAAAAUGUUUCUAUUUGUUGCUUGUGUUUCCUAUGACUACUGAGUUUUUCUCUUCCAACACAUUUUAGUCAGUCUUCUCUGUAUAUAAAAUCUUCCCGCAAAAGAGGUUGAUCUGACACCCUCUUUUCUGAUCGAAAAUCUUAUUAUUAUUUUAUUCCUUUCUUCUGAUGAAUUUUCUUACAAAAUUUCCUUUUUCUGUUCCAAAUAAGAGGCAAAUGUAUGUGGACAUCUUUUUUUUUUUCAGAUCUCAGAGGAAACACCUUCAUCUUCUUUCACUUAGCACACAGAAGCAGUGGCUUUAUCAUAUCUAGACCUUUGUGUAGUGAGGUAUCUUCCUCCUACACUUAAUCUCUUCUGGCUUUUUUUUUCAUAAAAGCAUGUUUAACUUCAAUGAAUACUUUUACUGCACCCACUAAUGAAAUUACUUCGAUCCUCUCCUUUGCUGUUGUGAUAUAUUUUGACUUUCCAUUUGUGCGUGUUAAGCCAUCCUUGUAUCUCUGGAAUAAACUCUAUUUAACAAGGUACA